RNAcentral lists this ribosomal RNA (243 nucleotides) under Agathobacter rectalis. RNAcentral describes it as "partial 16S ribosomal RNA". It matches the Rfam family "Bacterial small subunit ribosomal RNA", at positions 1098 to 1341 of the family's 1533-position model. The record is from RNAcentral. Lineage: Bacteria; Bacillati; Bacillota; Clostridia; Lachnospirales; Lachnospiraceae.
GCAACCCUUGUUGUCAGUUACUAACAGGUUCCGCUGAGGACUCUGACAAGACUGCCAUCGUAAGAUGUGAGGAAGGUGGGGAUGACGUCAAAUCAGCACGGCCCUUACGUCCGGGGCUACACACGUGUUACAAUGGGGGGUACAGAGGGCCGCUACCACGCGAGUGGAUGCCAAUCCCCAAAACCUCUCUCAGUUCGGACUGGAGUCUGCAACCCGACUCCACGAAGCUGGAUUCGCUAGUAA